UGAAGGGACGAACGGGCAGCUUGUGUUCUCCUUGCCCUUGUGCCUUUCUGUGGGUUCCGGAGCUUUCCUUCAAACCCAAGAUUCAGAUAGAAACCAAAUCCCAUCAGGCUUGGGGCCAGCUUUUUCUGCAGAUUUCAGAUAGGGAGGCAGCCUGUGAAUUCUUGCCAGAGAAGGCGAGUUCACUUUCUACGGAGGACAAGCCAUCCCAGCUCUACUCCGGAGGUCAAAAUGUCCAUCCUUGCCCCCGCCCUCCUAGACUGCACUUCAGCACUUGCCCCUUCACAGGGAACGGUUCAAGAAACUGCAGAUGUUGCUGAGUGUCACAAGAGCAUGGGAGUGGGUUUGAACCCUGGUACCAUGGUCAGAAGAGCUGUGGUCAACACACAUUGCCAGAGUUUCCAGGAAUAAACAAAAACAGAAACAACUGAAGGCACACAGAACUCUCUCACUCUCGUGUAACCAUCACAGGGGGAGUCUGGCCCUCUGGGUCCGGAUCUUUCCACCCCACCGUGGGACCUCAGUUUCAGGACAGUCUGUACUGUACGGCAAGUGCUCCGUUUGGCAGAGUCUACAGCUCUGCUGUAGGCGACACCAUGAGUCCCGUGGCUUCAGACUGAAGAGCAGGGUCCCUCGAGAUCAUUCUCAAGAUCAUUUGACCCCUGAGUCCCACCACUGUUUUCUAGACCUGCAUUUUUCAGUGUCCAGAUUGAGGAUCACCUGUUGAACGUUUGAUGACACACACAUGGGUUCUACUGUUCUUAGAAGACCGAGAGAGCGAUUCUGACUCGAGGGUUAGCUACGAGCAUCCUGGAAGAGAAGGAAUUUAACUGAGCCUGAAAAUAUAACCAGGAGUUUGAAAUGUAGGAAAGACUGAAGACAAAUAUUUGUCACUGUGAGAUCACAUGGGAAGCUGUGAGCAGUGAUGCCUGUCUGGAGACUGGGGUCGGGCAGGGGCAAUUGUGAGUUCAAGGACAACCUGGGAGUAUAGCAAGCUUGACUGAGCCAGCUUGGACUACAGAAGGAGACACUGCACAGAACGAAGUGGACAAAUUUUCAUUAAAAAGUAGGGGUACACUCACUGGAGUAUGGUCACAGUCCCAGGGGCCAGCCCCUUAUAGAAAUUCCAGUCCUUUCCCACCUGCACCCCUCAGAAGCCACCGAUUGUGGAAAGCGGUACUUCAGCAUCCUUGUCACACGUUUUAAGGGAUUUCUUCAGUAGCUUUCUAUCUAGGCUGUUACCUUUUGGGGGUUGGGGGUAGGAAUGGUAGGAGUUGUCACAGAAACCUUCCGUGUCUCUCUUUCUCAUCUCUUGAAUCUGCAGUCAUCAAUACCAUGGCAAAAACAGCCUUCUUGCCCUUUACAGGACUUACACAUGGUUUCUGGAGCCAGCAUGGACCAUGGACCGCCACAAGGUCUCUAGUGGCAGGCAGCACAUGCCCUGGACCUCAGCUUAAAGGAGAAGAAAGUUGGCAUAUGCAGCCAAGAAGGAAAGUUGAAACGAUGAAUAGUCUUUGCUUCAGUGCCAGA
Molecule: long non-coding RNA, 1527 nt
Organism: Mus caroli (Ryukyu mouse)
Lineage: Eukaryota; Metazoa; Chordata; Mammalia; Rodentia; Muridae
Source: RefSeq, a predicted model, not a curated record